NNNNNNNNNNNNNNNNNNNNNNNNACUGGGAAUACUGGGGGAUACUGGGAGGGGCUGGGAGCGAUGUGUCCCCGUGUCCUGUGUCCCCAUGUCCCCAUUUCAGUGUCCCCCUGUCCUGUGUCCCCCCAUCAGUGUCCCCCCCAUGUCCCCCUGUCUGUGCCGGUGUCCCCUCUGUCCCCCUGUCCGUCUUCCCAUGUCCCCAUGUCUGUGUCUGGUGUCCUCAUGUCCAUGUCUGGUGUCCCCUUGUCCCCAUCCCAAUGUCCCCAUGUCCGUGUCUGGUGUCCCCAUGUCCAUGUCCCCAUGUCUGUGUCACUGUCCCCAUGUCCGUGUCAGUGUCCCCAAAUCCAUGUCCCUGUCCCCGUCUGUCCCCAUGUCCGUGUCGCUGUCCCCAUGUCCGGUGUCCCCGUCCCUGUCCCCAUGUCUGUGUCGCUGUCCCCCUGUCCCUAUCCCAAUGUCCCUCUGUCCCCAUGUCCAUGUCUGGUGUCCCCCUGUCCAUGUCCCCGUGUCCGUGUCACUGUCCCCUGUGUCUCCAUGUCUGUGUCCCCCGUGUCCCCAUAUCCGUGUCACUGUCCCCGUGUCUCUGUCCCCAUGUCCGUGUCCCCGUCUGUGUCCCCAUGUCCAUGUCCGUGUCCCCUCUGUCCCUGUGUCCGUGUCACUGUCCCCAUGUCCGUGUCCCCAUGUCUGUUGUCACCGUGUCCAUGUCCCCCUGUGUCCCCAUGUCUGUGUCACUGUCCCCAUGUCCGUGUCCCCAUGUCCGUGUCUCUGUCCCCGUGUCUGUCACUGUCCCCUAUGUCCCCAUGUCUGUUGUCACCUUGUCUGUGUCCCCGUGUCUAUGUCACUGUCCCUGUGUCCGUGUCCAUGUCCCCAUGUCUGUGUCACUGUCCCCAUGUCUCUGUCCCCAUGUCUAUUGUCACCGUGUCCCCCUGUGUCCCAGUGUCCAUGUCCGUGUCGCUGUCCCCAUGUCGCUGUCCCCGUGUCCGGUGUCCCCCUGUCUGUGUCCCCACGUCUGUUGUCACCGUGUCCGUGUCCCCGUGUCCGUGUCACUGUCCCCAUGUCUCUGUCCCCGUGUCCGGUGUCCCCCUGUCUGUGUCCCCAUGUCUGUUGUCACCGUGUCCGUGUCCCCGUGUCCGUGUCACUGUCCCCAUGUCGCUGUCCCCGUGUCCGGUGUCCCCCGGCCCCUCCCUGUGUCCUAUUUUCCACCGUGGCCAUGGCAACGCAGGGACCG
RNAcentral lists this long non-coding RNA (1225 nucleotides) under Parus major (Great Tit). RNAcentral describes it as "lncRNA (ENSPMJG00000015651.1)". The record is from RNAcentral. Lineage: Eukaryota; Metazoa; Chordata; Aves; Passeriformes; Paridae.